AAAAAAUGUAGAGACAACAGGAAUUAGACGUUUUCCUAUACAAAAGCCUAAGUCAUAAAAAUGAUCGUAAACUAGGCUUUGUGGCCGACUCAUCUUGAAUGCUUCUUCCAAGUCCAUAUGACAUCUCCACAUUUUAAUACACUAUCCUCAAUGCCUCGUAUAUAAAAAGUCAUCUCUCUUGAAAAACCUUCAAUCACCACGGGAGCCGCCAUUGAUAAACUUCAAGACCGUCAACAAAUCAAGUGCAACAGUUGGUGAAGGGGUGACUUCGCAUCUUGUAUGACAUCUCAGACUGAUAUCUAGACUCAUCGAACUUCUUCGCAAGUCUGCAAAAGAAAUAAACAAAGAGAUAAGAUUCGUGACGAUAGCCGAAUCCAUUACAAGGCUGUAAAAUCAACUUCAAAAAUAUUUGUUAGGCUAACUAAGAAUGAAUGGAGCUUCAUCUUCAACAAGACUAUAGUUCUCGACGUCCGAAUUUCAUAGGAUCAAACUGUUGGUGAUUUCGACGCUCCUAGUUCAAGAUACAGUUUUUCUGGCCGAAAGCACGCAAACCUGAAAGUUCCCUGCGGUCAGUUUGACUUUCAAUAUUUUUCUGUUUCUAGCCCGAGAAGAGUUCCGGAAUGGAAUUUUUAUGUGUUGUAGAUUUAGGAAUUUUCUUUCCAACAGAAUAAACGGAUUGUAAUUCCGAUACUCCUAGCUCAAGAUACAAUUGUUUUCGCUGAAGGUAUGCAAAUCUGAAAGUUCACUGCAGUUAAGUCGAUGUCGCGAUUUCUGUUGAUAUCCCGAAAGGAGUUCUGCCAAAAAUUUUAUAGGUACUUCAGGUCUCUUAGUUUUCUUUCUAAUGGUGUAAACGGAUUGUAAUUCUGACACUCGUAGCUCGAGAUAUGAAUUUUUCCACCAUAGCGUGCAAAGCUGAAAAGCAAUUUCGUGGACAGAUGGGUCAAGUUCAGAAAGUUGCUGCGGACAAUGUGCUAGGAAUUCUUCUAUGAUAUCUUGAAGAUUUCAUUAUCUCUGAGUCUUUUUUCCAAUGGUGCAGAUGGCUCGCAAUUUGGACAUUCCUAGCUUGAGAUAUAUAUAUUUUGAUGACAACAUAGAGUGCAGUAAAGUCAAAAUGUCAGAUAUGUAUACCAGCUUCAAAAGUCGACUUCGGCUAAUCCUCAAGGAAUUUAUCCGUGAAUUCUUUAAAGGAUGUAACUGUUCAAGUAUUGAUUCUUUGAAAGCAAGAAGCUUCAGAUUUCAUUGCUCCUACAUCAAAGAAUUAAUAAUUUUGCAAAGGUUCGCCAAGCACUCGCUCGCCAAGGAUAAAAUAUGGUCGCUCGAGAUCCAAGCCUCUUUCUCGCCAAGUCGCAAGGCUAAGAUGCACCAUGUUGCUGAAGGGAUGUACCAAGUUGUUGUUGUACUCUCUUGAAAACCUACAAAAAUAAGAAAAGAUUUUGGAGCCCUCGGUGCCAACAAGAUGACGUUUUUGUAGAUACGGUGCGAGUAGCACGACGAGCAGCUCGAUUAAUGGAUAUCGCCAUAUCGGUGCCAUAGCACGACGUUUCUGCUUCUACUGAUACGAUUCUAAUAGCACAUUGCUUCGAUUCGGUAUGAUGGACAUCAAGGAUUUUCCAAAUCGGCAUGGAAAGGGAAGUUAAAAUUUGAGAGCCUCGCUAAUCUCUGGCCUCGACCAUGAGUUAGGUCGUUGAGUAUCUAAAACCUUCAGUUCCACCAGCCACGCACAAGCAAUAAAGACAACGGCACAAUGCUUUCACUUAGCAACAAGAAUCGGUGUCAAUGACACGACGCUUCAAUGUUGAUGGUCAGUAUUGUGACGUGCAGUUCUCCGUCAAAUCUCGAUGGAUCGUACCCUUCAUGAACCUACAAAAAAAGGAGUGGUGAUCAUCCACUUCUUCUCAUGAUGCAUAUGGGAGAACUCACCAUGUAUAUCAUCUCCGAGCCUGCAACAAAAGAAAAGGGGAAAAAAGAAGUAUGAUGCCCGAACAAUCCUCUCGAUUUCGGCGCUUGAUUGAUCAAAGAUUUGUUGCGUGUGGAUCAAGAGGGCUGGAGCUUCGACGUUUAUAGAAAUUGUAUCUCACCGAGUCUUCUUACCAAUGGUGUAAACAGCUCGUAGUUCGGAUGCUUCUAUUUUGAGAUAUGCAUUUUUUUAGCUGUAAAGCUGAAAAAAUCGAGCCAGCAUGUCGGAACUCGUCUUCCAGAUUCAGUAAAUUAUCUGGGAAAACCUGACAUCCUGACUGUGAUUUCUACAUAUGUUGUAGCUCCAAGAAUCUAAUUUUCAGCGCCACAAACGGCUUGUGAUUUUGACGCCCCUAUCUCGAGAUACGUUUUUUUCGCCGAGAGUGCGCAGAACUGUAAGACCAAUGGGCGAGACGCAUACGCCAAGUUCAAAAAUUAAUUCCAAACAAUACAGAAGGGAUUUGGCUCUUAAUUUUUGAUAUGCUGGAUUUCUUUGAGUCUAGAAUCAGUAGAAUCAAGCGACUUGCGAUUUGGACUCUCUAAUCUCAAGAUAUAAAUCUUUUGUUGAGAGCACGCAAAGCUGAAGGAGCUUGUAUGUCAAAAUUCAGUCAUGUAAAUUCUGAAUAGUAUCUGGGGCAAUCUAGGAGCAACUGGAUUGUGAUCUUUACAGAAGUCGUAGUUCAGGAAGUCUAGUUUCUGUAGCCACAAACCGCUCGUGAUUUCGGCGUUCCUACACCAAGAUAUGAUUUUUUUGGGCUAAGACGUGCAAAGCUGAAAUGUCGAGCAUGACAGAACGCGAACUAAGUAUAGGAAGCUCACCUGGGAUGAUACAAUGCGAAUCUAAAUCCAAAUUUUUGAUAUGUUUCAGUACUCUGAGUCUAGUUUCUGUAGCCAUAAAUCACUCGUGAUUUCGGCUUUCCUAUACCAAGAUAUAAUUUUUUUUAGUUAAGACGCACAAAGCUGAAAUAUUGAACGCGACAGAACUUGGAACCAAGUUUAAGAAGUUCAGAUGGGACAAUAUAAAGCGAAUUUAACCUCAGUUUUUGUUGCCUCUAAGUGUCUACUUUUUGGAGGAUCAAAUGGAUUGAGGUUUGGACACUCCUAUGAAAAGAUGUGAAUUGUUUUCUGUAAGUGCGCCAAGCUAUCGGACUAACGGGAGACGUCCGACUUAACUAAAGCAUAAGAAAAGCUAAUUGCCAGCUGCUGCUUGUUGGUUAAUACGCUGAGGCUGGAGGUAUG
RNAcentral lists this long non-coding RNA (3195 nucleotides) under Nicotiana tabacum (common tobacco). RNAcentral's name for it is "long non-coding RNA (NTAB_LNC018304)". Lineage: Eukaryota; Viridiplantae; Streptophyta; Magnoliopsida; Solanales; Solanaceae. The record is from RNAcentral.